Molecule: ribosomal RNA, 518 nt
Filed under: Emathis gombak
Lineage: Eukaryota; Metazoa; Arthropoda; Arachnida; Araneae; Salticidae
Description: partial 16S ribosomal RNA
Rfam family: Bacterial large subunit ribosomal RNA (bases 128-423)
Source: RNAcentral
UAUCGUGCUAAGGUAGCAUAAUAAUUUGUCUUUUAAAUGAGGACUGGAACAAAAGACUUAACAUUUUAAUUCAUUUAUCUAAUUUAACUUUCCAAAUUUUCAAAAUGUUAAAAAACAUUUAUAAUACAGAAAGACGAUAAGACCCUAUUGAACUUAACUUAUGUUUUACUGGGGCAGUAAAAUUAAUUAUUAUUUUAAUUAAAUUUUAAACAAAAAUAUCCAACUCAUUUGAAUUAUUCAGUUACCAUAGGGAUAACAGCACUAUAACAUCUUCAAGUUCCUAUUUAAGAUGUAGAUUAUGACCUCGAUGUUGAAUUAAUAAUCUAAUUAAAGCAAAUUUUAAAAAAGAAAGUCUGUUCGACUUUUAAAUAAUUACAUGAUUUGAGUUCAGACCGGUAUAAGCCAGGUCGGUUUCUAUCUUCUAAAGAGUUUUUUACAGUACGAAAGGACCCACUAAUAUAAUUUAAUUAAUUUAUUGGCAGAUAAUUGCAUUAGAAUUAGAAUCUAAAUAAGAUAAA